Molecule: long non-coding RNA, 1422 nt
Filed under: Malus domestica (apple)
Lineage: Eukaryota; Viridiplantae; Streptophyta; Magnoliopsida; Rosales; Rosaceae
Description: long non-coding RNA (MDOM_LNC003235)
Source: RNAcentral
AUGUUUGGAAUAUUCUGAACACUUUUCCAGAAGGCCACGAACCCAUCUGAGGUCAUCUUGGGCUCCAAAAACGUCAUUUAAGCCCAAAAACGUCAUUUUCCAGCAUUGCGCACUGCUUCUUUAUUUCAUCGUCAUAAAAUAACUGCUUGGUGGAAAAAUCCCAAAUUUUGAUACGAUCAAGCUAAGUGACUCACGAACGUCCUCCAACUGGAAUUACUCCAAAAUUCGUCCAUUUGGUCCUGUUUUGCUCCAGAGGAAGUCAAAAGUCCUAUAUUGAAAAUACAAUUCAAAGUAUCAAAAUUCUUCCAAUAUAUUAACCAAAAUUUACUAAGAUUAGGGUAAAAUAUAUAAUAUAAAAUCUACUCAUCAGUGAUGUCUAGUAAUGGACCGAUAACCCAUUGUGAUGGGGAUUUGUUGCUUUAUAUUGUUUCGUUUCAUUGAGUCUUUGUGAAUUGAGUAACUUGAAUCAUGUCUUAUUCUUUCGAGUCGUUGUUAUGCUUCAUGGACUUCCGUUCAAUUCUGUUGAGUAGUCCGGAACUGAGUUGUGAUUGGAUUUCGUUAAGUGAUGGAACGGAAUCCCUUAUACUUCGCGAUUCCGUUGAGUGAUGGUCCGGAAUCAUAUCCUAAUUGGAUUCCGUUGAGUGAUGGUCCGGAAUCGUAUCUUGAUUAGAUUUCAUUGAGUGAUGGUCCGAAAUUCCCUUUGGUUCCUUGGUUCCUUUGGGUGGUCCAAAAUUCCCUUUUUCAGAGAUGUGGUCUUUGGCCUAGCUGUGGCGCUCUAGCCCGCAUUUUGACGUGUUGUAUGUGUUAUUGAUGAUGUGAUGGUUGGCAUUAUUGAUGGAUGUGAUUAUGGAAUGAUGUUGGUUAUGGUAAUUAUGAUUAGACUCGUUGAACAUUAUGACUAGUGAAUAUGAUUGUGCUCCGUCGUUUGUCCCUUGUAAUGUUGCAUGUUAUGCAUUGUGAUUUAUUGUUGAGACAUAGCGAUUUAAUUCAGAUAUUCGAUUGUAGUGAAAUGACGAACUACGAAUAGCUUGAUCCUUAAUAAGGGUACGUAGGCAGUCUAACGAGGAGGUUAGAUGCAGCCAUAAAGUAUACAAAAAACUACUAUGCGAUUCGAUUCUCGAGUUGUACAUUGUACAUAUCCUGGAGGCGGGGUAUGUUAGAUAUACGGAUAUUGGUGUCGUCACGUGUUGAUCCUAGACGUAUGUUGGGAUCGGGGCGUGACAUGUGGUAUCCACUAGUGUAAAUAUUUUAAAUUGAAGAUCGAGCUUAUUCAUUGUAAUCCUAUAGGAUCAAGGAGUGUAGCUGUAAAAAAUCAUCAAAAUCGGAGUUAAAAUAACCGUUAAAUCAUGAUUUUUCAUUUAUAACCGUCAAAAAGUUUUGUCUCCUUACAUGAUCUCUGAAUGUUUGUUUUUUGCAAUUUUU